GACGAACGCUGGCGGCGUGCUUAACACAUGCAAGUCGAACGGAAAGGCCCUGCUUUUGUGGGGUGCUCGAGUGGCGAACGGGUGAGUAACACGUGAGUAACCUGCCCUUGACUUUGGGAUAACUUCAGGAAACUGGGGCUAAUACCGGAUAGGAGCUCCUGCUGCAUGGUGGGGGUUGGAAAGUUUCGGCGGUUGGGGAUGGACUCGCGGCUUAUCAGCUUGUUGGGGGGGUAGUGGCUUACCAAGGCUUUGACGGGUAGCCGGCCUGAGAGGGUGACCGGCCACAUUGGGACUGUGAUACGGCCCAGACUCCUACGGGAGGCAGCAGUGGGGAAUAUUGCACAAUGGGCGGAAGCCUGAUGCAGCAACGCCGCGUGCGGGAUGACGGCCUUCGGGUUGUAAACCGCUUUCGCCUGUGACGAAGCGUGAGUGACGGUAAUGGGUAAAGAAGCACCGGCUAACUACGUG
RNAcentral lists this ribosomal RNA (468 nucleotides) under uncultured bacterium. RNAcentral's name for it is "partial 16S ribosomal RNA". It matches the Rfam family "Bacterial small subunit ribosomal RNA", at positions 28 to 507 of the family's 1533-position model. The record is from RNAcentral.